GUCUUUUAGAUAAUAAUUUAAAGUCCRACCYGCCCRCUGAAUUUUUAAAGGGCCGCAGUAUUUUGACUGUGCUAAGGUAGCAUAAUCAUUAGUUUUUUAAUUGAAAGCUAGAAUGAAUGGUUUAAUGAAAAAUUAAUUGUCUCAAUUUAAUAAGUUGAAUUUUAUUUUUAAGUAAAAAAGCUUAAAUAUAUUUAAAAGACGAGAAGACCCUAUAGAGUUUGAUAAAUUUUUUAAAUAAUUUUAAUUUAGUAUUAAUUUUUUUUUAUAAAAUUUAUUUGGUUGGGGUGAUUUAAAAAUUUAAUUAACUUUUUAUUUUUUUUUUACAUUUAUAUAUGAAUAUAUGAUCCAUAUUUAAUGAUUAUAAGAUAAAUUACCUUAGGGAUAACAGCGUAAUUUUACUAGAAAGUUCUUAUUGAWWGUAAAGUUUGCGACCYCGAUGUUGGAUUAAAAUUAAUUUUUGGKGCARAAGCUAAAACUUUAAGUCUGUUCGACUUUUAAAAUUUUACA
Molecule: ribosomal RNA, 507 nt
Filed under: Telephanus atricapillus
Lineage: Eukaryota; Metazoa; Arthropoda; Insecta; Coleoptera; Silvanidae
Description: Telephanus velox partial 16S ribosomal RNA
Rfam family: Bacterial large subunit ribosomal RNA (bases 381-507)
Source: RNAcentral